This is a small nucleolar RNA of Eutrema salsugineum, 81 nucleotides long. It matches the Rfam family "Small nucleolar RNA Z155". Rfam says of the family: Z155 is a member of the C/D class of snoRNA which contain the C (UGAUGA) and D (CUGA) box motifs. Most of the members of the box C/D family function in directing site-specific 2'-O-methylation of substrate RNAs. Lineage: Eukaryota; Viridiplantae; Streptophyta; Magnoliopsida; Brassicales; Brassicaceae. The record is from Rfam.
CAAUGGAAUGAUGAUUACACUUAGCGGAUAUAUUAAUUUAUUGUGUCGACCAAAAUACAGACUACAAUUAUCUGAUCAUAU